UCUUCAUUUCGCACACUAUCUCACCUAUCAGAGAGACAAGAGAGUGUGCAAAAUGAAGAGA
Molecule: non-coding RNA, 61 nt
Organism: Pristionchus pacificus
Lineage: Eukaryota; Metazoa; Nematoda; Chromadorea; Rhabditida; Neodiplogasteridae
Source: Rfam